ACAGACGGACAUGGCUAGAUCGUCAUAGAAUUUUACGCUGAUCAAGAAUAUAUAUAUACUUUAUAGGGUCGGAAAUGAUUAUUUCGAUGCGUUACAAACGGAAAAACAAAAUUAAUAUACCCUCCAUACUAUGGUGGAGGGUAUAAAAAGUGUUUUCAUUGCUUCGCUUGGCCAAAAGUGGUGAACUGCCGAAUUUGGUUUUCUCCGAUGAGAAAACAUUCGUUCUCAAGCAGUUUGUAAACAAACAAAA
This is a long non-coding RNA of Musca vetustissima, 250 nucleotides long. RefSeq lists it as uncharacterized. The record is from RefSeq and is a predicted model, not a curated record. Lineage: Eukaryota; Metazoa; Arthropoda; Insecta; Diptera; Muscidae. The transcript has 2 exons.